This is a long non-coding RNA of Oncorhynchus keta (chum salmon), 175 nucleotides long. RefSeq lists it as uncharacterized. The transcript is spliced from 3 exons. Lineage: Eukaryota; Metazoa; Chordata; Actinopteri; Salmoniformes; Salmonidae. The record is from RefSeq and is a predicted model, not a curated record.
CUGUCAAAGAGGUCAGAGAGGUGGGCAUGGACCCUGUCAGAGGUCAGAGAGGUGGGCAUGGACCCUGUCAAAGAGGUCAAAGAGGUGGGCAUGGACCCUGUCAAAGAGGUCAGAGAGGUGGGCAUGGGCCCUGUCAAAGAGGUCAAAGAGGUGGGCAUGGACCCUGUCAAAGAGG